This 303-nucleotide ribosomal RNA is filed under the name Globigerinita uvula. Its description in RNAcentral is "bacterial SSU rRNA". It matches the Rfam family "Eukaryotic small subunit ribosomal RNA", at positions 1187 to 1390 of the family's 1831-position model. The record is from RNAcentral. Lineage: Eukaryota; Foraminifera; Rotaliida; Globigerinitidae.
GGCUUAAUUUGACUCAACGCGGGAAAUCUUACCGGGUCCGGACACACUGAGGAUUGACAGGCAAUAUAUGUGACUCUUCGGAGUUUGCAUUGUUAAAUAUGCUAGUCCUUUCAUGAUUAUGUGAUAGGUGGUGCAUGGCCGUCUUAGUUCGUGGAGUGAUCUGUCUGCUUAAUUGCGUUUCAAAUUACUUAUAAGGUAGCAAUACGCGAUGAAACUUUCAAUAUCUCUCACGAGAUUCACUUGAGUCUCUCGCUUCGCUAUCCUUUCAAUGCACGAACGUGACCGCAACCUCUUGUUGCCUUC